This 459-nucleotide ribosomal RNA is filed under the name uncultured bacterium. RNAcentral describes it as "partial 16S ribosomal RNA". It matches the Rfam family "Bacterial small subunit ribosomal RNA", at positions 338 to 795 of the family's 1533-position model. The record is from RNAcentral.
CCUACGGGUGGCAGCAGUGAGGAAUAUUGGUCAAUGGACGAGAGUCUGAACCAGCCAAGUAGCGUGAAGGAUGACUGCCCUAUGGGUUGUAAACUUCUUUUAUAUGGGAAUAAAAUGUUCCCCGUGUGGGAUUUUAUAUGUACCAUAUGAAUAAGGAUCGGCUAACUCCGUGCCAGCAGCCGCGGUAAUACGGAGGAGGCGAGCGUUAUCCGGAUUUUUUGGGUUUAAAGGGUGCGUAGGCGGAAUGCCAAUUCAGCGGUAAAAUCGCGGGGCUCAACCUCGCCCCGCCGUUGAAACUGGCGUGCUUGAGUGCGCGAGAAGUAUGCGGAAUGCGUGGUGUAGCGGUGAAAUGCAUAGAUAUCACGCAGAACUCCGAUUGCGAAGGCAGCAUACCGGCGCCCAACUGACGCUGAAGCACGAAAGCGUGGGUAUCGAACAGGAUUAGAUACCCGUGUAGUC